GACGUAGGGCGCGAGCGUUGUCCGGAUUUAUUGGGCGUAAAGAGCUCGUAGGCGGCUUGUUGCGUCGACUGUGAAAACCCGCGGCUUAACCGCGGGCUUGCAGUUGAUACGGGCAGGCUAGAGUUCGGUAGGGGAGACUGGAAUUCCUGGUGUAGCGGUGAAAUGCGUAGAGAUGCGGAGGAACACCAGUGGCGAAGGCGCUCUACUGGGCCGAGACUGACACUGAGAGACGAAAGCUAAGGGAGCGAAAAGG
RNAcentral lists this ribosomal RNA (253 nucleotides) under uncultured bacterium. RNAcentral's name for it is "partial 16S ribosomal RNA". It matches the Rfam family "Bacterial small subunit ribosomal RNA", at positions 524 to 776 of the family's 1533-position model. The record is from RNAcentral.